This 119-nucleotide ribosomal RNA is filed under the name Petromyzon marinus (sea lamprey). The record is from RNAcentral. Lineage: Eukaryota; Metazoa; Chordata; Hyperoartia; Petromyzontiformes; Petromyzontidae.
GCCUACGACCAUCUCACCCUGAAUGCGCCCGAUCUCGUCUGAUCUCGGAAGCUAAGCAGAGUCGAGCCUGGUUAGUGCUUGGAUGGGAGACUGCCUGGAAAUACCAGGUGUUGUAGGCU